RNAcentral lists this transfer RNA (73 nucleotides) under Argiope bruennichi. Its description in RNAcentral is "transfer RNA tyrosine (anticodon GUA)". It matches the Rfam family "tRNA". From Rfam's summary of the family: Transfer RNA (tRNA) molecules are approximately 80 nucleotides in length. Their secondary structure includes four short double-helical elements and three loops (D, anti-codon, and T loops). Further hydrogen bonds mediate the characteristic L-shaped molecular structure. tRNAs have two regions of fundamental functional importance: the anti-codon, which is responsible for specific mRNA codon recognition, and the 3' end, to which the tRNAs corresponding amino acid is attached (by aminoacyl-tRNA synthetases). tRNAs cope with the degeneracy of the genetic code in two manners: having more than one tRNA (with a specific anti-codon) for a particular amino acid; and 'wobble' base-pairing, i.e. permitting non-standard base-pairing at the 3rd anti-codon position. The record is from RNAcentral. RNAcentral also lists the same sequence under 1 other name. Lineage: Eukaryota; Metazoa; Arthropoda; Arachnida; Araneae; Araneidae.
CCGUCGAUAGCUCAGUUGGCAGAGCGGUGGACUGUAGAUCCAUAGGUCGCUGGUUCGACUCCGGCUCGACGAA